GCUUAAAAUCUAGCUCAACCUAACCUAAAUAAAACCUCCCCUUAAUCCACAUAAACUAAAACAUUUUAAUAUUUUAGUAGAGGAGAUCAAAAAAAUUUCAGAAGCAAUAGAUCUAGUACCGCAAGGGAAUGAUGAAAUAAAAAUGAAAAAAAUUAUAAGCAGAAAAAAGUAGAGAUUCAACCUCGUACCUUUUGCAUCAUGGUUUAAUUAGUUUAAUCAGGCAAAAAGCAUUAUAGUCUGACGUCCCGAAACUAAGCGAGCUACCUAGAAGCAGCCUUAUGGGCGCACCCGUCUCUGUUGCAAAAGAGUGGGAUGACUUCUAAGUAGUGGCGACACACCUAACGAGCUUAGUGAUAGCUGGUUUCUCGAGAAAAGGAUUUUAGUCCACCCUAGAGCUCAAUUAAAUUCUAUUAAAAUCAUAAUCUAGCUUUAGAGUAAGUCAAAUAAGGUACAGCCUAUUUGACACAGGAUACAACCUAAACCGACGGGUAAGAUACCCCUUAUUCACCUUAGUAGGCUUAAGAGCAGCCACCUAUUAAAAAGCGUCAAAGCUUAGCCAAAUUCAUCUCAUAAUCCCAAUCCUCAUCUCAAACCCUCCCCCAAUAUCGAGUAAUUCUAUAAUUUUAUAGAAGAUUUCAUGUUAAAACUAGUAACAAGAAGGAUGACCUUCUCUUUAAUGCAAGUAUAAACCAGAAAGGACAAACCACUGGAAGUUAACGCCUCUGAACACAAAUUAGUAAACUCACAAGAAAAACCUUAUACUACACACGUUAACCUGACACAAGAGCAUUACAAGAAAGAUUAAAAGAAAAGGAAGGAACUCGGCAAAUAUUAACCCCGCCUGUUUACCAAAAACAUCGCCUCUUGAUUAAAAAUAAGAGGUCCCGCCUGCCCAGUGACUCAUGUUCAACGGCCGCGGUAUCCUAACCGUGCGAAGGUAGCGUAAUCACUUGUUCUUUAAAUGGGGACUAGUAUGAAUGGCACCACGAGGGUUAUACUGUCUCCCUUUUCCAAUCAGUGAAACUAAUCUCCCUGUGAAGAAGCAGGGAUAAAAAUAUAAGACGAGAAGACCCUAUGGAGCUUUAAAUUUCAAUUCAAAUGCCCUCCAACCCUAAAAGUUUCCAACUUUAUUCUCACAAACCAGGCAUAGUGAAAUAGAAUUUUAGGUUGGGGUGACCGCGGAGUACAAAACAACCUCCACAUUGAACUAGGCCUAUUACCUUGAGCAACGAACUACAAUCCUAUGCACAAAAAAAUUUUCAUUCAUUGACCCAAUUUUUUUGAUCAACGAACCAAGUUACCCUAGGGAUAACAGCGCAAUCCUCUUCAAGAGCCCCUAUCGCCAAGAGGGUUUACGACCUCGAUGUUGGAUCAGGGUAUCCCAGUGGCGCAGCCGCUACUAAUGGUUCGUUUGUUCAACGAUUAAAACCCU
RNAcentral lists this ribosomal RNA (1432 nucleotides) under Scinax sp. KAV05. RNAcentral describes it as "partial 16S large subunit ribosomal RNA". It matches the Rfam family "Bacterial large subunit ribosomal RNA", at positions 135 to 2597 of the family's 2925-position model. The record is from RNAcentral. Lineage: Eukaryota; Metazoa; Chordata; Amphibia; Anura; Hylidae.